GUCAAGGACAACUGGUUAUAAGAAACAGCCACAUGGUUCCACGUUUUAUCUCUAAACUCAACUAGGAGCAGCAGCAGCAGCUCUACUCUUGUUAGAAAAUCAAGAAUGCAGAGAAACCCUUAAGUCAAUGAGUUUCAAAUGGGAGAAAAGAAAGACGUGAAAAUGGAAAUGUAAUGGGAUAAUUAGAAAUGGAUAUUGCUCAUAUCAAUUGUGUCACAGAACUAAAGUGUUGGUGUUAAUGUGCUGAACUUCAAUGCAUUCCUUUGUGUGGCCUUCAGUUCCUUUUCAGAUAAUUAGAACAGCUACUGGUGGUGGGAUGUCGUAAGGUACUGGAGAUUAUGUUUAUGAUGGAGAUCUGCAGCUAUGUAAUGAGUUAGGGCAUAACUAUUUUUAAACGCAAAGUUUGAACAUUUGUGAACGUUUAAAUGAAAAAUGAUGAAUAGAUUAUGUUCUCCACCAGUUCUGUACAGUUCU
This is a long non-coding RNA of Populus euphratica (Euphrates poplar), 474 nucleotides long. RefSeq lists it as uncharacterized. The record is from RefSeq and is a predicted model, not a curated record. Lineage: Eukaryota; Viridiplantae; Streptophyta; Magnoliopsida; Malpighiales; Salicaceae. The transcript is spliced from 3 exons.